Molecule: ribosomal RNA, 550 nt
Filed under: uncultured bacterium
Lineage: Bacteria
Description: bacterial SSU rRNA
Rfam family: Bacterial small subunit ribosomal RNA
Source: RNAcentral
UAGGGAAUCUUCGGCNNUGGACGGAAGUCUGACCGAGCAACGCCGCGUGAGUGAAGAAGGUUUUCGGAUCGUAAAGCUCUGUUGUAAGAGAAGAACGAGUGUGAGAGUGGAAAGUUCACACUGUGACGGUAUCUUACCAGAAAGGGACGGCUAACUACGUGCCAGCAGCCGCGGUAAUACGUAGGUCCCGAGCGUUGUCCGGAUUUAUUGGGCGUAAAGCGAGCGCAGGCGGUUAGAUAAGUCUGAAGUUAAAGGCUGUGGCUUAACCAUAGUAGGCUUUGGAAACUGUUUAACUUGAGUGCAAGAGGGGAGAGUGGAAUUCCAUGUGUAGCGGUGAAAUGCGUAGAUAUAUGGAGGAACACCGGUGGCGAAAGCGGCUCUCUGGCUUGUAACUGACGCUGAGGCUCGAAAGCGUGGGGAGCAAACAGGAUUAGAUACCCUGGUAGUCCACGCUGUAAACGAUGAGUGCUAGGUGUUAGACCCUUUCCGGGGUUUAGUGCCGUAGCUAACGCAUUAAGCACUCCGCCUGGGGAGUACGACCGCAAGGUUG